RNAcentral lists this long non-coding RNA (549 nucleotides) under Ananas comosus (pineapple). RNAcentral describes it as "long non-coding RNA (ACOM_LNC012609)". Lineage: Eukaryota; Viridiplantae; Streptophyta; Magnoliopsida; Poales; Bromeliaceae. The record is from RNAcentral.
AAAAAUUAAUUACUAAAAAUAAGGGUUAAUUACAUACAGCUUUCUGUAAAAAUAUCAAAUAGUAAAUAUAUCUCUACAAAGUUAAACUUUUUCAUAUUUAUUCCUACAAAAGUUCAAAUAUUUUUAAUACACUUAUUAUUGUUAGAAUCCGUAGAAAAAUAUACUUAACCAUAGGUAAAAUACCUAAUCUUGAUCAGCGAAUGAGGUAAAUUGACCUUUUUACCCCUCUUAUAUUAUUUGUAAUGGUAAAAAGAAGAAGAUGACCGUCGAAAUUUUUUUUAUAGGACAUUUUUGUAUAAUUCUAACAAUUGAGACUCUAGAAAGAAUAUAUUUAUUAUGAUAAAAAUAUUAUUUAAAAAAUAAGUAUUAUUUUAACAGUAACAAAAUAGAAGGGCAAAUGUGAAUAUCACUGGACUUUUAUAAGGAUAAAUAUGAAAAGUUGAACUUUGUGGGGAUGUAUUUGCUAUUCGAUAUAUUUAUAGAAAGCUACAUGCAAUUAACUCUAAAAAUAAAAUUUGUUGGGUGGAGGGGACAGGGGACAUCGUGGGU